RNAcentral lists this ribosomal RNA (253 nucleotides) under uncultured bacterium. Its description in RNAcentral is "partial 16S ribosomal RNA". It matches the Rfam family "Bacterial small subunit ribosomal RNA", at positions 524 to 776 of the family's 1533-position model. The record is from RNAcentral. RNAcentral also lists the same sequence under 1 other name.
UACGAAGGGGGCUAGCGUUGUUCGGAAUUACUGGGCGUAAAGCGCACGUAGGCGGAUUGUUAAGUGAGGGGUGAAAUCCCAGGGCUCAACCCUGGAACUGCCUUUCAUACUGGCAAUCUCGAGUCCGGAAGAGGUGAGUGGAAUUCCGAGUGUAGAGGUGAAAUUCGUAGAUAUUCGGAGGAACACCAGUGGCGAAGGCGGCUCACUGGUCCGGUACUGACGCUGAGGUGCGAAAGCGUGGGGAGCAAACAGG